Molecule: ribosomal RNA, 352 nt
Filed under: uncultured Syntrophus sp.
Lineage: Bacteria; Pseudomonadati; Thermodesulfobacteriota; Syntrophia; Syntrophales; Syntrophaceae
Description: bacterial SSU rRNA
Rfam family: Bacterial small subunit ribosomal RNA
Source: RNAcentral
UGGAGACAGGUGCUGCAUGGCUGUCGUCAGCUCGUGUCGUGAGAUGUUGGGUUAAGUCCCGCAACGAGCGCAACCCUUGUCCUUAGUUGCCAUCAUUUAGUUGGGCACUCUAAGGAGACUGCCGGUGUUAAACCGGAGGAAGGUGGGGAUGACGUCAAGUCCUCAUGGCCCUUAUGUCCAGGGCUACACACGUGCUACAAUGGCCGGUACAAAGGGCAGCUACUUGGUGACAAGAUGCUAAUCUCCAAAACCGGUCUCAGUUCGGAUCGAAGUCUGCAACUCGACUUCGUGAAGCUGGAUUCGCUAGUAAUCGCGCAUCAGCCAUGGCGCGGUGAAUACGUUCCCGGGCCUU